AUCCUCACUGAUUUGCUUUUUCACCGAUGCAGCACCUGGCAGCAGAUGUGUUGGAAGUAACAACAAUAGCAUUCAAAGGCUCGGAUCCCUAGAAGAGGGCCAGGAAGGCCCGGCCUCUGCUGAAACUGGGGGGAGUCCUGCUCGUGCUCCUGGGUUGGAGGUUCUUGGAAGUCUCUGUCCAGUUCCCUCUGCCCCUUAUUCUUUUGCUCUGGUGUUUUCUCCUCGGCCCCCCAAAAUAAGCAGACUUAUUUUCUCACAGGACCCCAUAGGGAAGCCCAGAAGCCCAGGGAUGGGACCAUCCUUUCCUAAAGAGUUUCCCCAACCCUGCGGGAAGCUGAGGCUGUGCUUCAGGGCCUUGGGAGAGUCUGAGAUUGUCAUCAGUACAGGACAGCCUGUCCAGCCAGCAUGUUUGCUCAGCUCCUAAAUAGUCCAAGAGAGUGUGUGGGUCCUCAGACCAACACCCAGGCCUUUUCUUGGAAGAAGCAGAGCCCGUCGUUCAGCUCACCAGCACUGGCCCAGUACCUGGUUGCAUAGUGCCAAAGGAAGAGGGCGAUGCUAGGCCCUGGAAGCCAAGCCGCUGGGAUGCUCGUAGCUGCAGAGGCUCUGGGGCGGCGCGUGUGGCUCAGAAAGAAGCCAGCCUGGCCGCUUCCUGACACCGCCAGUGUCAGCCCUGGAGACCGGCAACGGUGGUUGGGACGAGGGGCUUCACUCCCACAGCUCAAAACCAGUUGGUGUCACAUUAAAAUGGAAAUAAAUAAAUACAAAUUUUUGAAUUAAAAAUUAAAUUCAGUUAAACAACAACAAAAAAGUCCGUGUCAAGGGGAGGGGAGGUCCUCGGAUUUGUUUAUAAACAUAGUAAAAUAAAUAUAUAAAGAGAAGCAGCUCAGAGUGUUUGGGGGUUGAUCUUGUCUGUUUUUCAUGGAGCAUGUUUCCCAUUACAAGGGGAACUUGCAGGCCACACAUGGGCAGAAAGGAAAUAUGCAGACGGGAGUAUAAUUGGGGGUGCUGGGGUCGUGGGAUAAUCCGUGAAUUUGUUUUCAAAAUCUUCUUGAAUGUUCUGCUACUUUUACAAUUAAAAAAAAAGAAAAAGUGUAACAAAAUCAACUCUAAGUUGAAUUCAGCUGGAAUUAACUUAGUCUGUUGUGAUUUCCUGUAAGUAAGAUUUACGCUUCCACUGACUCCAGGAAGGGACUGUAGUGGUUUUUAUUUUUAUCUGUCUAUUUCUCCAAAAUCCAUUUCAUAUCUAUCCUGAGGGGUCAGGUCAAGUUAGAAUCUGGGUACCGGUUUCAGAGAGGGUUCUCUUGCCAGCUGCUUGCAGCACACAUGGUGGAAAGAUGUGGGGGCAGUGUGCCCACCAUCUCACAGCCUUGACUCUAGCAUCCCCAUUUACAGGAGGGGAAACUGAGGCUAACUGAGGCUCAAGCCAUCGGGAUAGGGUAGGUUCAGGCUCCUGAAUUUGUCGAGUUUUCUCAUAGCCCAAAAUAAUUGCCUUUUAGAGAAAGUCUCCUUCCUAGCGUGUCCCGGGCAAAAUGGGAAUGGACACAGUAGUAGGUACACCCCUGUCGCUGGCACGAAUUUGUGGGCCUCUCUAUCAACUUACAGAGGGGGCAAACAUAAAAAUCUCUCUUCUUCUCUCAUUCUCUUUCCUACUCUCAGGCAACCGAGCAUUUUCCUUGUUGAGAAAAUCCAAGUGUCAUAAAAGUGAUUUGGACAGAAAACAAAUAAAGAUCUGGUUUGGGAAGGAAAGCCAAAAUUCCUCAUUAUCAACAACAGUACUUCUUUAGAUAAAUACUUACCUAAUCCAAUUCUUCUUCCUUUUUUUCUCUU
Long non-coding RNA from Canis lupus familiaris (dog), 1827 nucleotides. RefSeq lists it as uncharacterized. The record is from RefSeq and is a predicted model, not a curated record. Lineage: Eukaryota; Metazoa; Chordata; Mammalia; Carnivora; Canidae. The transcript is spliced from 3 exons.